Molecule: unclassified non-coding RNA, 253 nt
Filed under: uncultured Verrucomicrobiota bacterium
Lineage: Bacteria; Pseudomonadati; Verrucomicrobiota
Description: uncultured Verrucomicrobia bacterium contains 16S-23S intergenic spacer region
Rfam family: Bacterial small subunit ribosomal RNA
Source: RNAcentral
UACGGAGACCUCGAGCGUUACUCGGAUUUACUGGGCGUAAAGGGUUCGUAGGUGGCCAAGUGUGUCGGGUGUGAAAUCUUGCGGCUUAACCGUAAAACUGCGCCCGAAACUACUUGGCUAGAGAUUCGGAGGGGUAAGCGGAAUUCCAGGUGUAGCGGUGAAAUGCGUAGAUAUCUGGAGGAACACCAACGGCGAAGGCAGCUUACUGGACGACAUCUGACACUGAGGAACGAAAGUAUGGGUAGCGAAAGGG